Long non-coding RNA from Esox lucius (northern pike), 2658 nucleotides. Lineage: Eukaryota; Metazoa; Chordata; Actinopteri; Esociformes; Esocidae. The record is from Ensembl.
UCAUCACUUAGCGAAAGAAGCAACCUUUAUUUUUCUUCCAAAUUUAUGAAGAUGAGAUUCGAGGUUUAAAUACUGUAUGACAAAAAAAACUACAUAAACAUUCAGGCAAUUUCCAAAGAGGAAAAAAUAUCACUUCAAUCAUUUCAGAGCAAACAUCUCAGCAGGAUAUAAUGAAUAUAAAUAAUACUAGGACUGCACAAUGGGGGAGAAAUAGUGGAAAGAUAUAAGCAAUUGUCUGUCCAAAUUCAAGGUUUGCAUUCCAAAUCUGUCAUGGAACACACAAAUAAAUUGUCUUGUUUGCACAUCUUUAAAUAUCAAAAGAACCACUGUACUAUUUGCAGUGCAGUAAUCUUUAAUCUACCUAAUUUCAUACACUCCUCAUUUGUUAGUCUCAAUAACUCCACCUUGGAAACGACAGGCCAAUUUCAUUAAAGGAAUAACAAAUCUAUGUGAAUAUUUAGCAAUAACUUCUGUCAGUUCACAUACAGGUGUCAGAUAGGGAAAGCUGUCACAAAUAAUCAACACAUUUUUCAAAUGUAUCUAAAAGAAGGGGUUCAUGUCUAAGAUAUGGAUAUCAUAUAGUUUUGGUAGGUACAAACGUAUCAGUCAGAGAGAAUAAACAUAGAAACAUCCCACAGCCCUUCACAACAGACAAUGGUAAACCACAUCCCAGUCAUAUGACUAUGAUGUUGGAAAUCGUAGCCUCUCACGAUUCAGCAAAACAACAUGUAAAUGAUUGUCAACUGACACUCAGUUAUCACAGGCUUGUAAUCUGUAAUUAUAAAAUGUAAAACCAAAAACUAACAUCAGAGGAGUGACCAGUUGGACUUAAACAUAAUUCUUAUUUUAAACAGUAGGACUGCAACCAUUAAUGACACACAUAACAUCAACGGCAUGACUCUACAUGUGACAUGACAGGCCUACGCCUUGUUAUAAGAUGUACCUAUCCAAUGUUAUGUUGAAACAAUGGAACAUUCAAAGGGGUAAAAUGCCAACAAGAAAAAGGGUUUACAACAAUCUACCACAGACAAUAUGGUAUGGUAUGUUGGGGGGGGGGUGCAAAUCAAGAACACACUGUCUAUUGAGCAAUGAAUAUACAAUUAUGCCCAGUAUCUAGAACAUCCACACAUACUGGCAGAACUGCCUCUUGCCUGUCAAGAAUCUUGUCGAGGUAUGGUUAGAAAUUGAGAGUUCAUAUGCUUCGUCCAUAUUAGUCAACGUCACAUGAGCCAGCGGUGAAAGUCUACGUUUAACAGUUGCCAGAGACUUCAAAAGGUAUUUGGGAGUCGGUUAUCUCAAAGACAUACGAUUCUACCCAGUCUUACAACAGUGGUACUUGAUGGCUAUAACCUCUCUGAGCAUAAAUGCAUGUUGCCAUGCAACACCACUAAUCAGUAGCUAAUCAUGACCAAUAAUGGAAAACAUGAUUAAAUACAACAAUUUCAUGUUCAAACUUGGGGCUCUAGGGAGAAUUUCCAUUUACUUUAAGUAAAUCAAUUAGCUGUGUAAAAGAUAUAUGUGAGUUUUACAAGCAUUUCCUAUGUUGCGUUUCUUGUCGUUUUAUAUUAAAGCAGCUGCUAAAUGACAUUUUAUUAUUAUGGAGCUGUGAUGCCCUUUAAACUAACAAACUGGAAGUGAUUACAGCUUCAUUUACAAUGUUGGUAAUGGUAUUCUUUAUGCUCUCCCUUUUUGUUUUACAGAAAGAUACACAAAAAAACAAAAAAAAACUUGUCUCGCAAACUACAGAUCCUUCAGGUCCACCACUUCAGAUCUUGAGACAAUGUUUUCCUUUAAUAGCCAUUCCACCAUUUUCCCUUAGUAGACCACCUAGAGAAAGAACCAUGCGGAAGCCAGGAAGAUUCCCCUAGCUUUCCAUUUCAGAACCUCUGCGACAACAGACUGCAGAAAACGUUCCAACUCAAAGCUGAAAAAGACGGUCAGUAUUCUCGGACCGCUGCACCAUUCCAUUCCUUCCCCGAGACGUUCCACCACAACUGCUCUUGGUCUGUCCAAACCCCUCGCUUCCUCAACUGCAUCAACUUUGAGGUUAGAAUUUUUCCCAAAUCGUCUGAAUGCUUCAAGAUUUUCAUUCCCUCUUUCCCCCCUUCUACAGUUCGCAGGAGACAGUUAUGUGAAAUGAGCUUGGAGGGUUGUGUGAGAACACCUCUUCUCAGUCUUCUUCUGCCCGAGGCCAAGGCCCUCCGUCGACUAACUUGCGGUCCCCAGGGGGAAAGGAAGAGGUGGCAGGGGCUGGGGAGUGACUCCUGUGUCCCCAAUGAGGAUCCGGAACCUUUCACCCCCCCUCAUCGAAGGGCCCGUCUCCCUGGCGGCGCUACCCUGACGUGUGCUGCUUUUCCUGUUCUCCGUGUAUCUGCGCGCGGGCAGCGCCUUCUCGCUUUUCCCUCCCUCGUUUCCAGCUCUUUGUCCUGUCCAGCUCCACCUCCACGUUGCUCUCACUCUUGUGAUUGGUUGGUUUUUCUCGGUCUCUCUCCUGUUGCUUUCACACAGUGGUGCUUCAGUUGUAGCAGUGGAAAACAGGUAUCCAUGUUUGUUCUUUUUUUUUUUUUACAUUACCCAGAUUAAAAUGCCGACGAACUAAGCUCAGCACAGGCCUAGCUCUGUUUUUCACAACCUAAGGGUGAAAUGAAACAAAUUUCA